GACACAACAAGCACAAAACGCGGCAAUUAGGCCACACUCUUGUGAGUUGGACGAGAGAGAAACCAAUAUUCUACUCUUUCUUUCUCAUUUGGUCCCACCUAUUCUCCUCUCAAAUACUCGGCACGCGUGAAAUUUCAUCCGACGAUUGGUCACUAGCUGCUUGCCUUCCUCCUCUCUCUCUCUGUCUUCCACAUGGACCUCGUCCACCACUGCGGACACCCUUACAGUUUACAGAGCAAUAGAAAUGGAUGUGCUUUUCGGAUUGGCACUUCAGCAAUUGGGCAUUCACGUUGUAACAUCUGGACUGCACAUCUUCUGCAACUGCAAUGAGUUUUUGCGUGUUCAGAUAAAAGAAAGCAAAUUGAAGGGAGUUGAUGGCUAUAGCCGCUAUACUAUACAAGAAUAGGCUGCUGAGAUACAAAGGCCCCCAAAAGCCAUCAUAGCCAACUAUUCUGAAAGAAGAACGCAUGCAAUUUCGUUGUUUAGGGGGAGAGGAGGUCACAUGGUGAGCCCUGCUGCUUCCACUGCCUUUCCCCUUCUCUUUUUCUGUCAGUUAUCAUGCGCUCGUUUUCCCCCCUCUUGUGAUUUGACACACAUAGCCCUAUAUUUAUGUAGUACUUUAAAGAGUGAUGUGAUAUUUUUUCUCUCUACAAUUAUUAUUUAUGCAUCGAUGGAAACAUUUCCAUGUACCUUUUUUUUUAUUUCUCUGAAAUUGACAAGCCACUUGGCUCCAUCUACACCAAUAUUCUG
Molecule: long non-coding RNA, 750 nt
Organism: Sorghum bicolor (sorghum)
Lineage: Eukaryota; Viridiplantae; Streptophyta; Magnoliopsida; Poales; Poaceae
Exons: 3
Source: RefSeq, a predicted model, not a curated record